Triticum aestivum (bread wheat) is the source of this 1648-nucleotide long non-coding RNA. RefSeq lists it as uncharacterized. Lineage: Eukaryota; Viridiplantae; Streptophyta; Magnoliopsida; Poales; Poaceae. The record is from RefSeq and is a predicted model, not a curated record. The transcript has 3 exons.
AGUGCAGUCGCAGGCUUUCUUCUUUCGCUUUGCUAGCUUUUGGUUGCUUUGGCGCACUCUGAUGCAGAUGCAGCAGCAGCAGCAGAAUUGAAGAGUGCAUGCAUUCGAUUCAGUGCCCGGCCGGCCCCCUCCAUCAGAAUCAGAUCAUGGAUGAAGCGGGGGAGAAGGCUAUGGCUAGCUGCCUUGGGACUAGCAACCGGAAGCAGCAGAGUACCCUUUGCUGAACGAGGAAACACUCCUUCUGAAAGUACACUGCAUGCUGCUGCUCCAUCGGCAGGCCAAGCUCGGGAGCAUAUAUGUUCUCUUCACAUAAUGACCGCAGCAAGAAUUAACCUUUACUUUGUGACCCGCUGGCUGUUGCAAACGGAAUGUUAGUAUAUUUGCACCAAGCAGGCAAUCCCCAUGAGAGUUACUACGUCAUUUACUUCUCAACUUCUUUUUUUCUUUUCAAAAAGAAAGAUAAACCCUCGGGCUCUGCAUGAAGCGAUGCACAUGUGCCUAUAUGUCUACUGAGAUUUUAACUAAGUCUCACUCAGGGUGACAUAGGAGUAGUAUAUAAGAAGAAGAAAAAAGCUAAAAGGAAAAUUUUGCAUGGAUCUCCACGCAAGAUCGAACGAAUAUAGCAUCAACCGAGACAUAACCAAGUCUCAAGUUGACUAAAACUUAGCAAAACCGUUAUUAUAUUAUUCAACAGAGUCUGACAAAAUAAAUACAAGAAUCAAUCCAAAGCCACCUUCCUGGUAAUCUAUGUUGCUACACCUACAAACAGCUUUAUGAUGUGCCAUGACCGCACCAACACACAAUAUCUAAUUCGGUCCUCACGAAGCCGCCCGGAGCACGCUGAGAGCACCAACCGGUCUAGCAAACCCGCAGCGCGCACCAACAAAAAAUCACCAACUUGCUUAACUAUUACUACGACUGAAGAAUACAUACUUGUACUGCUAGCUAGCUAUGUGAAAGUAUAAAAGCUUCAAAAAUACAACCUCGACUUGUGUACAACUUUGUACUCCCGCGCUCAUGUAUAGUACGUGGCUUGCUAUGCAAUUUCACACCUCUUUUCUCUCUUUGCCUUUUUUGGCUAGCUAGCUACCUAGCUAUAGGAGGCCGGCUACCUAGGUAUGGUAUGGACGGUGGAUAUAUGUAUGUGUGCGUAGAGAGAGAACAUGCUAAAUUCCUGUCAAGUCUCCGUCUCUCUCUCCCUCCAUGAUGUCCCUUAUCUCCUCACCUCUUUUUAUUUAUUCGUAUCAUAUCAUGCACAUCAGUUCAUUCAUCGCCGCCGCGUGACUUGGGUUAAUUGUCCACAUAAAUUGACCAUCUUGCAGGUCUUGCCCUACGAUAAAUGUAUAUAGAUCUUUCUGAAUUGCUCUCUGGAAUUACUGCAUGCAUGCGUGAUAUGCGCGUGGAGUGGAGAAGAGGCCAGACGCAAAGACAGGGCGCGCAUGCAUGCAACGCAUAUGCUUUGUGAUGACAAACUUUGGAGGUUUCCUUUGUGGGCGCAGCUUUAGUAACAUUCCUCUUCUCUUCUUACUCAUCACACAUCAGUAGUAACUUCUACUCCUUGGCUCUAUGCAAAACAUUGAUCGUGGGAAGAAAAACACACCGCAUGUCAACAUAUAUUUUUUAAGGGGUGUUUGGUUCCAGGGACUUU